Molecule: non-coding RNA, 135 nt
Organism: Triticum urartu
Lineage: Eukaryota; Viridiplantae; Streptophyta; Magnoliopsida; Poales; Poaceae
Source: Rfam
AAAGUACUCCCUCCGUCUCAAAAUUCUUGUUUUAAAUUUGUCUAAAUACGAAUGUAUCAAAUCACAUUUUAGUAUUAGAUACACCCGCAUCUAGACAAAUCUAAAAUAAAAAAUUUGAGACGGAGAGAGUAACUA